This 145-nucleotide ribosomal RNA is filed under the name Glomus sp. Glo1. Its description in RNAcentral is "partial 18S ribosomal RNA". It matches the Rfam family "Eukaryotic small subunit ribosomal RNA", at positions 82 to 226 of the family's 1831-position model. Lineage: Eukaryota; Fungi; Glomeromycota; Glomeromycetes; Glomerales; Glomeraceae. The record is from RNAcentral.
UGAAACUGCGAAUGGCUCAUUAAAUCAGUUAUAAUUUAUUUGAUAGUACCUUACUACUUGGAUAACCGUGGUAAUUCUAGAGCUAAUACAUGCUAAAGCCUCCCGACUUCUGGAAGGGGGUGUAUUUAUUAGAUAAAAAACCAAU